Molecule: unclassified non-coding RNA, 456 nt
Filed under: Hevea brasiliensis (rubber tree)
Lineage: Eukaryota; Viridiplantae; Streptophyta; Magnoliopsida; Malpighiales; Euphorbiaceae
Source: RNAcentral
CCCGAUUUAAAUGGUAUAGAGUCACUGCAAGAUGUAACAUUGGGAAGGUGAUGGACUGAUCCUCAGGGCUUACAGUUUUCGCCAUGAUAUCCAAACUUAUCCUCAACAACCGCUCGGCCUCAACAAAAUUCUUGGACUGUGAAUAAGAGGUAGCAAGAUUUAGAAGGUGGGUAACUGAGCUGGGAUGAUCUUUUCCUUUGGAUCUUUCAGAGAUCAACAAGCAUUCCUCUAGCAACUCUCGGCCUUCUUUUCCUCUCCCUACAACAUGAAGUAAUUCUGCCAAAUCAAUCCUCAUCUUCUCCAUGAUACUGUCAUCCAGAGCUAUAUAAUUUGUGUCCUUGAUGAGCUGAAGACCCCUGAAGACCCUUUCCAUACAAGUCAAUAGCUUCUUCGACAUUCCCUGUUGAGCACUUCACAUGGGCUAGGGAACACAAGGCCACGCCAACUCUUCCAUCA